GUAGGGUGUGGGGCAGGCAAAUCCGCCUCACGUGAAGCCCGAGAGGUGAUGGGGAGGGAAGUAUAAGUACCGAAGUGGCCGAGCCCACACUGCCUAGAAAAACCUCUAACGAUGGCUGGCCGGUGCCCGUACCGCAAACCGACACAGGUAGGCGGGGAGAGGAUCCUCAGGCGCGCGAGAGAACCCCCGUUAAGGAACUCGGCAAAUUGACCCCGUAACUUCGGGAGAAGGGGUGCCCCGUUAGCGUGAAGGUGCGGAGCUGCUGGAGCGCGAGGGGGUUGCAGGGAAGAGGCCCAAGCGACUGUUUACCAAAAACACAGGUCCCUGCGAAAGCGAAAGCUGAGGUAUAGGGGCUGACGCCUGCCCAGUGCUGGAAGGUUAAGGGGAGGGGUUAGCCGGGGGGAGACCUCUGGCGAAGCUCUGAACCGAAGCCCCAGUAAACGGCGGCCGUAACUAUAACGGUCCUAAGGUAGCGAAAUUCCUUGUCGGGUAAGUUCCGACCUGCACGAAAGGCGUAACGACUUGGGCGCUGUCUCAACGGGGGGCUCGGCGAACUUGUAGUACCCGUGAAGAUGCGGGUUACCUGCGGCGGGACAGAAAGACCCCGUGGAGCUUUACUGCAGCCUGACAUUGGACCUUGGUACUGCAUGUACAGGAUAGGUGGGAGGCGUAGAAGCUGGGGCGCCAGCUCUGGUGGAGCCGGCCUUGGGAUACCACCCUUGUGGUGCUGGGGUUCUAACAGGGUGUCGUGGAAGCCGGCACAUGGACAGUGUCAGGUGGGCAGUUUGACUGGGGCGGUCGCCUCCUAAAGGGUAACGGAGGCGCCCAAAGGUUCCCUCAGCGCGGUUGGAAAUCGCGCGGUAGAGUGCAAAGGCAUAAGGGGGCUUGACAGCGAGACUUACGAGUCGAGCUGGGACGAAAGUCGGGCUUAGUGAUCCGGCGGUACCGAGUGGAAGGGCCGUCGCUCAUCGGAUAAAAGCUACCCCGGGGAUAACAGGCUUAUCUCCCCCAAGAGUUCACAUCGACGGGGAGGUUUGGCACCUCGAUGUCGGCUCAUCGCAUCCUGGGGCUGGAGCAGGUCCCAAGGGUUGGGCUGUUCGCCCAUUAAAGCGGUACGUGAGCUGGGUUCAGAACGUCGUGAGACAGUUCGGUCCCUAUCCGCCGCAGGCGCAGGAAACUUGAGGGGGGCCGUCCCUAGUACGAGAGGACCGGGAUGGACAGACCGCUGGCGUACCAGUUGUCCCGCCAGGGGCACAGCUGGGUACCCAAGUCUGGGAGGGAUAAGCGCUGAAAGCAUCUAAGCGCGAAGCCCGCCCCGAGAUGAGGUUUCCCGCGGAGUUAAUCCGGUAAGACCCCUGGAAGACUACCAGGUAGAUAGGCCGGGCGUGUAAGCCGGGUAACCGGUUGAGCGGACCGGUACUAAUAGGUCGAGGGCUUGAUUCC
This 1443-nucleotide ribosomal RNA is filed under the name Desulfovirgula thermocuniculi DSM 16036. RNAcentral's name for it is "bacterial LSU rRNA". It matches the Rfam family "Bacterial large subunit ribosomal RNA", at positions 1520 to 2925 of the family's 2925-position model. The record is from RNAcentral. Lineage: Bacteria; Bacillati; Bacillota; Clostridia; Thermoanaerobacterales; Thermoanaerobacteraceae.